This 463-nucleotide ribosomal RNA is filed under the name Vishniacozyma carnescens. Its description in RNAcentral is "LSU rRNA". It matches the Rfam family "Eukaryotic large subunit ribosomal RNA", at positions 106 to 588 of the family's 3401-position model. The record is from RNAcentral. Lineage: Eukaryota; Fungi; Basidiomycota; Tremellomycetes; Tremellales; Bulleribasidiaceae.
AGCUCAAAUUUGAAAUCUGCUUUCAGGCGUCCGAGUUGUAAUCUAUAGAGGCGUUUUCCGCGCCGGACCGCGUCCAAGUCUCUUGGAAUAGAGUAUCAAAGAGGGUGACAAUCCCGUACUUGACGCGACAACCGGUGCUUGUGAUACGUUCUCAAUGAGUCGAGUUGUUUGGGAAUGCAGCUCUAAAUGGGUGGUAUCAUCUAAGGCUAAAUAUUGGCGAGAGCCGAUAGCGAACAAGUACCGUGAGGGAAAAUGAAAAGCACUUUGGAAAGAGAGUUAAACAGCACGUGAUUGUUAAAAGGGAAACGAUUGAAGUCAGUCGUGUGGGAAGUAUUCAGCCGUCUCUGGCGGUGUAUUUGCUUCUCACGGGUCAACAUCAGUUUGAUCCGGUAGAAAAAGGCGGGAAGAAGGUGGCACCCUCGGGUGUGUAUAGCUUCCUGUCAUAUGUGCCGGACCAGACUGA